UAGGAAGGAAGACGGGUCUUUCUGGAUGC
This 29-nucleotide non-coding RNA is filed under the name Mus musculus (house mouse). Lineage: Eukaryota; Metazoa; Chordata; Mammalia; Rodentia; Muridae. The record is from RNAcentral.